GAACCAACGCCUGUGUGAAUCAUUUCGUUAGAGUCCCUGAAGUGGAUACCUUGGUAUGCAGGGUUGUCAAAUUAUGCAAAUAAAUGCAACAUUAAAAUAAUACCCAAAAUUGACAACAACACUUCGAAUGGUCUGCAAUUUUAUUUGCUAUGGUCUACAUGUUUCGCCUGCAAGGCAGGCUUCAUCAGGACAAUUUUUAUACAGAAAUUAAUCCCUGAAGUACUCAAAGUGGUGAAAUUUGACGUCGUCAUGGUGAGAGAAACAAUGAAAAGUGAAAGUAGCAAUACAGAGUUAUAAAUAGAUAUAAAGAUAAAUAUAGAAAAUUAAGAAAAUUAAAGUUUGUUUACAAUGUAACUUGAGUUCGUUUUACUAUUAUAUGAUACAUGAAAUUGUUCUAAAGGCUUGGUAUCUAAUUGGACGAACUUCCCAUGGUUCCUACCACUUCGCAAGGCUUCUCUUCCAACCUGGCCAUUGUUGGAGGUUACUACUUCCUAGCGCGUCGGCAACAAUAGGAAGAUUAUGGUCGCCGCUAUGGAAAAUAAAAUUGUCAAAAUUUGCUCCCUUGUUGUAAAUUAUUUGGUGACUCUAUAUAAUUGUUGGAUCGUCUGCAGUAGUUGGUCUGUUUAAUGGCAUGGUUAUGAAUUCCUGGCAAGUUCCUUUAAGAUCGGCGCCCGUGGUACAUUUCUUCUACUAUCAUUUAUAUCUGCUAUCAUUU
RNAcentral lists this long non-coding RNA (715 nucleotides) under Mytilus galloprovincialis (Mediterranean mussel). The record is from RNAcentral. Lineage: Eukaryota; Metazoa; Mollusca; Bivalvia; Mytilida; Mytilidae.